This 775-nucleotide ribosomal RNA is filed under the name uncultured Neocallimastigales. RNAcentral's name for it is "partial large subunit ribosomal RNA". It matches the Rfam family "Eukaryotic large subunit ribosomal RNA", at positions 18 to 644 of the family's 3401-position model. Lineage: Eukaryota; Fungi; Neocallimastigomycota; Neocallimastigomycetes; Neocallimastigales. The record is from RNAcentral.
CAGACGAUGCGUCAUGCAUAUCAAUAAGCGGAGGAAAAGAAACUAACAAGGAUUCCCCUAGUAACGGCGAGUGAAGCGGGAAGAGCUCAAAUUUGAAAUCUUAAAGGGUUUCCCUUUACGAAUUGUAGUUUAAAGAAGUGUUUUCUGUUGAGGUUUUGGUAAAAGUUCUUUGGAAUAGGACAUCAUAGAGGGUGAGAAUCCCGUAUUUGACCUUUACUUUCAACUUUGUGAUACACUUUCAAAGAGUCGGAUUGUUUGGGAAUGCAGUCCAAAAUGGGUGGUAAAUUUCAUCUAAAGCUAAAUAUUGGCGAGAGACCGAUAGCGAACAAGUACCGUGAGGGAAAGAUGAAAGGAACUUUGAAAAGAGAGUUAAACAGUACGUGAAAUUGUCAAAAGGGAAGCGUUUGACACCAGUGUUGUUUUUCUGAAAAUCAAUUAAAGAACUGUUUAUGCUAAGCUGUUUAGGACUUUAUCAGCUAUCUGUUUAGUUUUGAGCUUUUCUUUAAUGCACUUUUCAGCUAACAAGUCAACAUCAAUUUCUUUUGCUGUAAAAAAGCUUGAGGAAGGUGGCUUGAGAUUCGUCUUAAGUGUUUAUAGCCUCUUGCCUAUGCAGUCGGAGAGAUUGAGGUCUGCAGCGUAGAUCCUUCGGGGCUAAAUGCAUUUGUGCUAAGUUAUAGCAUUUUCAUAGACAACUUGUUGACUAUGAUUUGUCUUGUAGCUUACUCGCUUAUGUUAUUUUACCUACGCUUAGGAUGUUGAAUCUGUGCGAGACUAC